UUGAUACGAAAUGUCAUAACAAGAAGGC
Molecule: small RNA, 28 nt
Filed under: Bombyx mori (domestic silkworm)
Lineage: Eukaryota; Metazoa; Arthropoda; Insecta; Lepidoptera; Bombycidae
Description: ovarian small RNA-4127
Source: RNAcentral